GUGAAUCAUCAAAUCUUUGAACGCAAAUUGCACUCCUUGGUAUUCCGGAGAGCAUGCCUGUUUGAGGGUCAGUUUAAAUAAAAAUCGGUGUGGUUGCUGCCUUUCUUGGUUACGCACCGGAUUUGGGUCGUCUUCCCUUCGGUUAAGUGACCUAAAAUUUUGCAUGAUGUUUCGAACGUAUUUAAAUGUUUUUACGUACGUUUGCGAUACCGAAUACUAGUUGUGGUCAUCUUCAUGAUUCGCGCC
Molecule: unclassified non-coding RNA, 246 nt
Filed under: Glomus sp.
Lineage: Eukaryota; Fungi; Glomeromycota; Glomeromycetes; Glomerales; Glomeraceae
Description: partial contains 5.8S ribosomal RNA and internal transcribed spacer 2
Rfam family: 5.8S ribosomal RNA (bases 1-71)
Source: RNAcentral